UACGUAGGGGGCAAGCGUUGUCCGGAAUCAUUGGGCGUAAAGAGCGUGUAGGCGGCCAGGUAGGUCUGCUGUGAAAACUCGAGGCUCAACCUCGAGACGUCGGCGGAAACCAUCUGGCUAGAGUCCGGAAGAGGAGAGUGGAAUUCCUGGUGUAGAGGUGAAAUUCGUAGAUAUUCGCAAGAACACCAGUGGCGAAGGCGGCUCACUGGCCCGGUACUGACGCUGAGGUGCGAAAGCGUGGGGAGCAAACAGG
RNAcentral lists this ribosomal RNA (253 nucleotides) under uncultured bacterium. RNAcentral's name for it is "partial 16S ribosomal RNA". It matches the Rfam family "Bacterial small subunit ribosomal RNA", at positions 524 to 776 of the family's 1533-position model. The record is from RNAcentral.